Photinus pyralis (common eastern firefly) is the source of this 3487-nucleotide long non-coding RNA. RefSeq lists it as uncharacterized. Lineage: Eukaryota; Metazoa; Arthropoda; Insecta; Coleoptera; Lampyridae. The transcript is spliced from 3 exons. The record is from RefSeq and is a predicted model, not a curated record.
CUCAUUUUUGUCGGGACAGCUUUCAUACAAUACAAACUAAAGUUAGACAUCAUUGCAAAUAAUUUCCUCGAAAUCCUCAAUUUGUUAAACAUAUUGUACCUACAUUUGUAUAUAUUGCUUUGGUUUGUUGCGAAGUAGCGCAUGAAAAGAUGUCAUUGUGCUGUUCACCUACCGUAUACAACUGCAAGUAAAAUUUCGUGCAACCAUUGACGUACUAAUUGCACUGGUAUCAGUACCACAAAUCUUUGUUAUUCCACUAACAUAAAUUAAAACAACUUCAUUCCCUCUUUACGUCGAAGAACGAGUUUUUAGUAUGACUAGUUUCAACAUUAGUGUGACAAACGCGACUCCCAUGAGAUAACGCCACAAAAAACUCGAUCGAACGAAGGUUAAAGAUGUAGUAGUAUCUUGCCCAUGGUCCUUAUUUUGGGUAUGCGGAAAUUCAAAACGUUUAUUUUAAGUAUCCUCGAACUGCAAGGUACGACGAAGGACAAUGCGACGCAACGUUCUUACACCAGCCAACUCCCCAAUGUAUUCAAAUUGGUCGGAAUAAUUCCGUACCUAUAUGGAAUAAUAAGCAAUUUAAACAAGUUAUGCGUUCACCGAUGGACUGGCGAUUAGAAAAGUUUACAAGAAAAUUGAUAAAUUGAUCGAUUCCCAAAAUGGUAGCGAACUGGAUCUCGCCGAAGAUAGCAGACAUGCUAUAAACUACAAGUUUCCAUAUACAUUCUGUUGCUUUCUCCAAAUUGAAUAAUUUUAGUUUUUUUCGUUGGCAAAAUUCUUACCGUUUUAAUUUUGCGAGAUUCCUUAAGCGUUUGAAUUGAUUUUAUCGGCGAAAUAUAUUCGGCAGUACCGCUAUGAGAAGUUAAUCCUUCUUUCAGGUCAGUGAACAAUAUCAAAAACCUCAACUUGGACAUUUGUGAAUGUCAAGUGAAUUCGUGUUUGCACAAAGUUUUGCUGGUAGGUAGCUGUUUCGUCCUGAACAAAAAAACGGAACUCAAUGAACCCACCCAGACACAACCGUUCCAAUUCAAGUCAAAGUCGAAUUUACCGACAGAUAGUGUAUAGGCAAUUGUUUGGAUUUGCAUAAUAUAAAAACACUGUAGACGUAGAAAAAGUAAAUGAAAUAACGUGUAUCUGUGGAGUAUAUACCCAAGAUUCAAUCUAACAUUACAGACUUCGACGUUUUUUGACUUACUGCAAAAGAUCAGCCGAUUUUUUUAUUCACAUAAAGAAUUAUAAGCUAAGCCACUUUACAGUACCCUUAAAAACUCAUGAAACUCGUCCAGUAGACAGAAAAUGUAACAGAUGGUCGCUUUAGGCUUGGAAUCAAAAUUUACAAAAUUGCCAGUACCUAUAGGAAAUUUUAUACGUGUGCCGCUUUAUAAGGAAAGAUAACGGAACUAAUGCGAGAAAAUAAAGCGCGUUAAGAUAAGAAACGAGUGUUCAAUCAAAUAAGAGUCCAAAUUUUGCAAGUGACGCAUAAACGUGGAGCACCAAUUAACUUCCUGUAAAGGCCUCGUGUUUCAAAAUAAAACAGAAAAUCGGUUCACAUACGCGAAUUUAAAGCGGAAAACUUAGCUCACACCAUAGGUCUAUUGACCGGUACAAAUUUUGCAUUGAGUAAAUUUAUUUAAAUAUACGAAAGAGUGACCACAGAAGUGAGAAUUGACAUUAUUACUGCCAGUGGUGGAGUAAAUAUGUUUAUAAAAAGGGUAUCAAAAGUUACUGAAAUUUAAGAGUGAUAUUUUUUUAACAUGUUUGAAUUCAGGGAUAGUUUUUUUUUUUGUAAAUUGCAUAUGGAAUGGAAAACACGCCAAAAAUUACAGACGUUUAAACUGAAAACAUGUGGGGGAUGAGGGAAGACAACAGGAACAACCCUCAGCAAGUGAAGAAGCGUGAACAAAAAAGAAGACAACAUCCAGAAGCAGCAAGUCAGUAACGUUCAAGGAUAUUGCAACUAGCAAGCAUGAUAAAGGCAUUGAUCAAAGAAACGAGCAAGGCACAGAAAAAAAAACAAGAAAUCCAAAUUAGCGUAUUAGAAGGCCAUCAGAAAAAAAAGAAACCAGAAGAGAAGGAAAAGAGAUACUCGAAGAUGUGCGCCAAGAUCUCAGGGCGAGCCAGAAGAUUAAAGCUGACCAAGAGAAGCCAAGAGAAGAAACCAAAGAAGAAAUAUAUCGCCUAUGCAAGUGAAGUUAGGUGCAGUUAAGAAUGAAGUUUAUUGAAGUGUUUUAUGUUUUUGAAUAGGUUUUUUUUAGGUUAGAUAGCUUAGUUGUUGGGAUGAUUCCAGUCAGUUUAGAUUUUUUGUUAAUAAGGUCUGCUAACUCAGGCCGAAGCUGCCCUUAGUUUUUUGUUGCUCAUUAACCUUUCAUCGUGUGUCGAAGAACCCGAAGUUAUGAACCCCCGUACAUUUAUGAAAUCGGCCAGCUUUGCUGAACACCCGGUAUCGAGAAGCGUUUUAAGUUUGGUGCUUCGUUACUAAGGAGUUCCUGAAUUUACUUAUUUGCUCGACGAGUGAGUUUUCAUUUUGUUUAAUUGUAUAUUGGAUUACAGAUAACGCAUCGUAGUAGUGUAUUUAUGAGUUUGAGUAUAUGAUUUUUUCUUGCAGCCACCAAAAGCUGGUGUAACCGGGGAGAAGAAAGACAAUUAAUAUUUUGAGAUUUCAGCGCCGUUAAUUAAUUAUUAAGCAGUUUAGUUUCCAAUAAUAAGUGAAAAUCAGAAUAGAAGCGAGUUCCCAAUCGAGGUGUUGGUACGUUAUCAGUUUGCAGCCUUGCAUAUGUGUAGAUAACGACAACAGUCGUUGUGUCCGGAAAAUACCAAUUAGGCCUAGGUGUUAAGUGGAUUAAUGAGUAUUGAAGUUUGAAUGCGCCUAAUUGACCGACGUUUUAAUGAGUUGCAGUUUUCAAAAACGGUCGUGAGAGAUGAUUCCGAACGCGCUGUAAUUUUUCCAGAAGGUUACAGGUUAUCCCAUUUCUUCCGAUAACUGCACGCCGAGUAAUUCAUUAAAAACCGAAUUAAUUUGAAUCGGUUUAGUACUGAAUACAGCGAGGAGAUGGAAAUUCCCUAUUCCACUUCCCCAAACUCCGGAUUUCUUUAUAAGGUUAACUCUUGAUUUUGUGAGGGAUCUUUUGCUGUUUGCCAUUUUUGAUUCUUGCCCAACUUUUUCUACCGCUCCGUUAUCGUAAAGGUGAGCCGCCAUUUUCUGGACCUGACCUACUGAUUCCUGGAACUACCGUUUCUCCGGUUGAGUUUUCACGCGGAGAGACCGAGACCGACCCGCCAAACCGUGGCUAUCGCCGACCUCGACCAGGCGCGAGAUUUUCGCUUGAUGGCGCCAGAGUCAGCCGAUUCUUGCUGCCGUUUCGCCAUUGUACACCAACAUAACUGGUUGUCGCCAAUUGCAGCUAUUAAAUCUGUUAAUUACAACAUAAUUUGUAUAUUUAUUAACGAACUCCUAGUGAGGUCAUGAUAUUGGACUGUCUGUGCG